CUACGGGGCGCUGCAGUGGGGAAUAUUGCACUAUGGGCGCAAGCCUGAUGCAGCCAUGCCGCGUGUAUGAAGAAGGCCUUCGGGUUGUAAAGUACUUUCAGCGGGGAGGAAGGGAGUAAAGUUAAUACCUUUGCUCAUUGACGUUACCCGCAGAAGAAGCACCGGCUAACUCCGUGCCAGCAGCCGCGGUAAUACGGAGGGUGCAAGCGUUAAUCGGAAUGACUGGGCGUAAAGCGCACGCAGGCGGGUUUGUUAAGUCAGAUGUGAAAUCCCCGGGCUCAACCUGGGAACUGCAUCUGAUCCUGGCAAGCUUGAGUCUCGUAGAGGGGGGUAGAAUUCCAGGUGUAGCGGUGAAAUGCGUAGAGAUCUGGAGGAAUACCGGUGGCGAAGGCGGCCCCCUGGACGAAGACUGACGCGCAGGUGCGAAAGCGUGGGGAGCAAACAGGAUUAGAUACCCCAGUAGUC
RNAcentral lists this ribosomal RNA (465 nucleotides) under uncultured bacterium. Its description in RNAcentral is "partial 16S ribosomal RNA". It matches the Rfam family "Bacterial small subunit ribosomal RNA", at positions 339 to 795 of the family's 1533-position model. The record is from RNAcentral.